Molecule: ribosomal RNA, 332 nt
Filed under: uncultured bacterium
Lineage: Bacteria
Description: bacterial SSU rRNA
Rfam family: Bacterial small subunit ribosomal RNA
Source: RNAcentral
CGCGUAGGUGGCGCGGAAAGUCAACGGUGAAAGCUUGGGGCUCAACCCCGAGUCGGCCGUCGAUACUUCUGGGCUUGAGCACUGUAGAGGCAGGUGGAAUUCCGGGUGUAGCGGUGGAAUGCGUAGAGAUCCGGAAGAACACCGGUGGCGAAGGCGGCCUGCUGGGCAGUAGCUGACACUGAUGCGCGACAGCGUGGGGAGCAAACAGGAUUAGAUACCCUGGUAGUCCACGCCGUAAACGAUGGGCACUAGAUGCUUGGGGGAGCGACCCUCUGAGUGUCGGCGCUAACGCAUUAAGUGCCCCGCCUGGGGAGUACGGCCGCAAGGCUGAA